This 1401-nucleotide ribosomal RNA is filed under the name uncultured bacterium. RNAcentral describes it as "bacterial SSU rRNA". It matches the Rfam family "Bacterial small subunit ribosomal RNA". The record is from RNAcentral.
AGUGGCGCACGGGUGCGUAACACGUAGGUGACCUACCUUUAAGUCGGGGACAACAUUGGGAAACCGAUGCUAAUACCGGAUGUGGAAAAUCAUUUUGAAUGAGAUUUUCUAAGGGGUGCUUUUGCAUUUGCUUAAGGAAGGGCCUGCGGGACAUUAGCUAGAUGGUGGGGUAAUGGCUUACCAUGGCGACGAUGUCUAGGGGGUCUGAGAGGAUGAUCCCCCACACUGGAACUGAGACACGGUCCAGACUCCUACGGGAGGCAGCAGUAGGGAAUAUUGCGCAAUGGGCGAAAGCCUGACGCAGCAAUGCCGCGUGAGUGAGGAAUGCCUUAGGGUUGUAAAGCUCUGUCAUAUGGGAAGAACAAGGUUUUGGUUAAUAGCCUUAACCCCUGACGGUACCAUAGAAGGAAGCACCGGCUAACUUCGUGCCAGCAGCCGCGGUAAUACGAAGGGUGCAAGCGUUGUUCGGAUUUAUUGGGCGUAAAGCGCGCGCAGGCGGAUGUGCAAGUCAGAUGUGAAAUCUCGGGGCUCAACCCCGAAACUGCGUCUGAAACUGUAUAUCUAGAAUCAUAUAGGGGGCAGGGGAAUUUCACAUGUAGGGGUAAAAUCCGUAGAGAUGUGAAGGAACACCGGAGGCGAAGGCGCCUGCCUGGAUAUGUAUUGACGCUGAGGCGCGAAAGCGUGGGUAGCAAACAGGAUUAGAUACCCUGGUAGUCCACGCCGUAAACGAUGAGCACUAGUUAUUGGAGGUAUUGACCCCUUCAGUGACGCAGCUAACGCAUUAAGUGCUCCGCCUGGGGAGUACGGUCGCAAGACUAAAACUCAAAGGAAUUGACGGGGGCCCGCACAAGCGGUGGAUUAUGUGGUUUAAUUCGAAGCAACGCGCAAAACCUUACCUAGACUUGACAUCCUGAGAAUCUUUUAGAGAUAAAAGAGUGCCUUUAUUGGAACUCAGUGACAGGUGCUGCAUGGUUGUCGUCAGCUCGUGCCUUGAGGUGUUCGGUUAAGUCCGUUAACGAGCGCAACCCAUGUUCUUAGUUAUUAUGUCUAAGAAGACUGCCUUGGUUAACAAGGAGGAAGGUGUGGAUGACGUCAAAUCAGCAUGGCUUUUACGUCUGGGGCUACACACAUGAUACAAUGGUAUAUACAGAGGGUAGCAAUAUUGUGAAAUGGAGCUAAUCCUUAAAAUAUAUCUCAGUCCGGAUUGGAGUCUGCAACUCGACUCCAUGAAGUUGGAAUUGCUAGUAAUCGUGAAUCAGAUAUGUCACGGUGAAUAUGUUCCUGGGUCUUGUACUCACCGCCCGUCACGGCAUGGGAGGUAGUAAAUAUCGGAAGUCCCCCUUGUAAUAUGGGGGCCCAUGGUAGGACUACUGACUGGGCUGAAGUCGUAACAAGGUAACC